GCUUACAGCUAUACCAACCUAUGCAUGCCCAACCUUGUCUGAUCUUGGAAGCUAAAUAGGGUUGGGCCUGGUUAGUAUUUGAAUGAGAGACCGCCUGGGAAUACCAGGUGCUGUAAGCU
Molecule: ribosomal RNA, 119 nt
Filed under: Amphilophus citrinellus (Midas cichlid)
Lineage: Eukaryota; Metazoa; Chordata; Actinopteri; Cichliformes; Cichlidae
Source: RNAcentral